GGGGUUGUGGCUCAGUGGCAGAGUGCUCACCUUGAACGUGUGAGGCAUUGGGUUCGAUUCUCAGCACCA
Molecule: non-coding RNA, 69 nt
Organism: Ictidomys tridecemlineatus (thirteen-lined ground squirrel)
Lineage: Eukaryota; Metazoa; Chordata; Mammalia; Rodentia; Sciuridae
Source: Rfam